RNAcentral lists this ribosomal RNA (428 nucleotides) under Acidobacteriota bacterium. Its description in RNAcentral is "Acidobacteria bacterium partial 16S ribosomal RNA". It matches the Rfam family "Bacterial small subunit ribosomal RNA", at positions 355 to 776 of the family's 1533-position model. Lineage: Bacteria; Pseudomonadati; Acidobacteriota. The record is from RNAcentral.
UGGGGAAUUUUGGACAAUGGGGGAAACCCUGAUCCAGCCAUCCCGCGUGUGCGAUGAAGGCCUUCGGGUUGUAAAGCACUUUUGGCAGGAAAGAAACGUCAUGGGUUAAUACCCGGGAAACUGACGGUACCUGCAGAAUAAGCAACGGCUAACUACGUGCCAGCAGCCGCGGUAAUACGUAGGGUGCAAGCGUUAAUCGGAAUUACUGGGCGUAAAGCGUGCGCAGGCGGUUCGGAAAGAAAGAUGUGAAAUCCCAGAGCUCAACUUUGGAACUGCAUUUUUAACUACCGGGCUAGAGUGUGUCAGAGGGAGGUGGAAUUCCGCGUGUAGCAGUGAAAUGCGUAGAUAUGCGGAGGAACACCGAUGGCGAAGGCAGCCUCCUGGGAUAACACUGACGCUCAUGCACGAAAGCGUGGGGAGCAAACAGG